This 956-nucleotide long non-coding RNA is filed under the name Ananas comosus (pineapple). RNAcentral describes it as "long non-coding RNA (ACOM_LNC001120)". The record is from RNAcentral. Lineage: Eukaryota; Viridiplantae; Streptophyta; Magnoliopsida; Poales; Bromeliaceae.
GGCCAAUUUCAGCCCAAUUCAUAGGAUCACGGCCCACAUUUUCACCCACGUUUGAAAAUUCAAUUUCGAAUAUCAUAUUCAAAUUCGAUAUUAAAUUUUUAAACCCACAACCAACUAGAAAAUAUAUGUUAUCCUAACAACCCUAUUCGAAAUUCGAUUUCGAAUUUUGAACCAACUCCUAAAAUAUCACUCAACCAACAUCCAUUCGAAUUUUGAAUACCUAUCAAUCCCACAAUCUAUUCAAAAUUCAAUUUCGAAUUUUGAAUAUCUAUCCAUCCAACAACCCAUUCAAAAUUCGAUUUCAAAUUUCGAAUUUCGAAUCCCCAACCAACUCUAAAAAUAUCUUCCAACUAUCCAACAACCCAUUCAAAAUUCGACAACUGAUUCAAAAUUCGAUUUCGAAUUUCGAAUCCCCAGCCAAUUCCCAAAAUAUCCUCCAACCAUCCAACAACCGAUUCAAAAUUCGAUUUCGAAUUUCGAAUCCCCAACCAAUUCCCAAAAUAUCCUCCAACCAUCCAACGACCGAUUCAAAAUUCAAUUUCGAAUUUUGAAUCCCCAACCAACCCCCGAAAUAUCUUCCAACCAACCACAACAACCGAUUCAAAAUUUGAUUUCGAAUUUCGAAUUCCCAACCAACCCCAAAAUAUCUUCCAACCAACCACAACAACAGAUUCAAAAUUCGAUUUCGAAUUUUGAAUUCUUAACUGACUCCUUAAAAUAUCUCUCGCCACCUCUCCUAUUAUAAAUAUGAGAAUCAAAAUCAAACGUCGGACGAUACGAUAGAUGGAAAAAAAAAAAUAGAUAGAUUGCUACACACGUUCCGACGUACAAAAUAUUCAAAGAAUGAGAGAUCACCGAGCCGCUGAAAGAAUUGGAGAUCGUCGAGCCGCUGAAAGGAGGAGAGAUUGUCGAACCGCAGAAAGGAGGAGAGAUCGCCGAGCCGCAGAAAGGAUAAG